GAUGAAGAACGUAGCGAAAUGCGAUAAGUAAUGUGAAUUGCAGAAGUCAGUGAAUCAUCGAAUCUUUGAACGCACAUUGCGCCCAUUAGCAUUCUAGUGGGCAUGCCUGUUCGAGCGUCAUUUCAACCCUUAAGCCCUGUUGCUUAGCGUUGGGAGCCUACAGUACUGUAGCUCCCCAAAGUUAGUGGCGGAGUCGGUUUCACACUCUAGACGUAGUAAUUUUUUCUCGUCUGUAGUUGAGCCGGUCCCCUGCCGUAAAACACCCAAUUUAUCAAGGUUGACCUCGGAUCAGGUAGGAAUACCCGCUGAACUUAAGCAUAUCAAUAAGCGGAGGA
Molecule: unclassified non-coding RNA, 335 nt
Filed under: soil metagenome
Description: partial contains 5.8S ribosomal RNA, internal transcribed spacer 2, and large subunit ribosomal RNA
Rfam family: 5.8S ribosomal RNA (bases 1-120)
Source: RNAcentral